AACGAACGCUGGCGGCAUGCCUAACACAUGCAAGUCGAACGAGACCUUCGGGUCUAGUGGCGCACGGGUGCGUAACGCGUGGGAACCUGCCCUUAGGUUCGGAAUAACUCCCCGAAAGGGGUGCUAAUACCGGAUAAUGUCUUCGGACCAAAGAUUUAUCGCCUUUGGAUGGGCCCGCGUUGGAUUAGCUAGUUGGUAGGGUAAAAGCCUACCAAGGCGACGAUCCAUAGCUGGUCUGAGAGGAUGAUCAGCCACACUGGGACUGAGACACGGCCCAGACCCAUAGGGGAGGGGGGAGGGGGGAAUAGUGAAAAGGGGGGAAAUGUUGGAACCGACAUUGCCGGGAGAGAGAUGAGGGCCUGGGGGUAGAAACGCUCUUUUACCGGGGAUGAUAAUGACGGUACGGGAAAAAAAAGCCCCGGCAAACCCCGUG
RNAcentral lists this ribosomal RNA (433 nucleotides) under uncultured bacterium. RNAcentral describes it as "partial 16S ribosomal RNA". It matches the Rfam family "Bacterial small subunit ribosomal RNA", at positions 29 to 507 of the family's 1533-position model. The record is from RNAcentral.